CCACAACAAAGGCAUGUUUCAUGUUACGACCUCUUGAGGAAAAAGGUUACAUUAUACCAUUUAAUGAACGAGGUGGCGGAUGUGGUGCAGCUAUGAGAUCCAUGUGUAUAGGUUUGAUGUUUCCUUGUGAAGAUCAAAUUAAAAUGUUAAUUGAAAUUGCUGUUGAAAGUGGAAGGAUGACUCAUAAUCACCCCACAGGUUAUCUAGGGGCUGUUACUGCAGCUUUAUUUACAGCCUAUACUAUACAGAAGAUGGCUCCUAAAAAAUGGAGAGCACGACUUUUAAGUGUUUUACCCAAAGUUUAGGAAUACAUUGAGAAGGUUGGUCGUGAUGUAGAAGAAAAAAGAAAUCUUGGGGCUGCUUUAAAAACAGUUGAGAGUUAUAUCUUGAACUACGGGGAUUAACAAAUGGAACCAUUGAACGAAAGUUUCCAGUGAAUUAUAACAUACCUGAACGUGAUGCUGUUUAUAAAUCUGUGAGUUAUGCAGGUUGGGGUGGGUCCAGUGGUCAUGAUGCACCAAUGAUUGCUUACGAUGAUUUGAUGAUGGCAAAAGAUUCCUGGUUUCAAUUGUGCUCUUGUUCUUAGUUUCAUGGUGGAGAUAGUGAAAGCACAAGAAUAUUGGAUGCAGCAUGGUGGGGUGGUAUGUAUGGUAUGAAAAGUGUACCCCUUGGAAAUUAUAGGAACGUGGAAUUUGGUCAUAGGCUUAUGGAACUGGGUAAAAAAUUACUGAAUGUAUCAAAGAAUAUGAACAACUAACAGGAUAGUAUUUAUUUAACAAAAUUCUGUCAUCCCAAUAUACUUUAGUAUGUUUGUAAAUCAUACAAUAAAAAUUACUACUUGGUUA
Long non-coding RNA from Xenia sp. Carnegie-2017, 845 nucleotides. RefSeq lists it as uncharacterized. The record is from RefSeq and is a predicted model, not a curated record. Lineage: Eukaryota; Metazoa; Cnidaria; Anthozoa; Malacalcyonacea; Xeniidae. The transcript is spliced from 2 exons.